This is a non-coding RNA of Fukomys damarensis (Damara mole-rat), 116 nucleotides long. The record is from Rfam. NCBI's taxonomy places the organism in Eukaryota, Metazoa, Chordata, Mammalia, Rodentia, Bathyergidae.
AUACUCUGGUUUCUCUUCAGAUCGUAUAAAUCUUUCACCUUUUACUAAAGAUUUCUGUGGAGAGGAACAAAUUGCUAUUAAUUUGUUUUUUUAAAAAAGCUACUAAAGAUAAGGUU